UACGUAGGUGGCAAGCGUUGUCCGGAAUUACUGGGUGUAAAGGGAGUGUAGGCGGGAUAUCAAGUCAGAAGUGAAAAUUACGGGCUCAACUCGUAACCUGCUUUUGAAACUGACAUUCUUGAGUGAAGUAGAGGCAAGCGGAAUUCCUAGUGUAGCGGUGAAAUGCGUAGAUAUUAGGAGGAACACCAGUGGCGAAGGCGGCUUGCUGGGCUUUUACUGACGCUGAGGCUCGAAAGCGUGGGGAGCAAACAGGAUUAGAUACCCUGGUAGUCCACGCCGUAAACGAUGAUUACUAGGUGUGGGGGGAUUGACCCCUUCCGUGCCGGAGUAAACACAAUAAGUAAUCCACCUGGGGAGUACGACCGCAAGGUUGAA
RNAcentral lists this ribosomal RNA (375 nucleotides) under uncultured bacterium. RNAcentral's name for it is "bacterial SSU rRNA". It matches the Rfam family "Bacterial small subunit ribosomal RNA", at positions 524 to 898 of the family's 1533-position model. The record is from RNAcentral.